Molecule: long non-coding RNA, 277 nt
Filed under: Mytilus galloprovincialis (Mediterranean mussel)
Lineage: Eukaryota; Metazoa; Mollusca; Bivalvia; Mytilida; Mytilidae
Source: RNAcentral
GUGGAAUAUGCCAUUCAAUAAAGUAAAAAAUCAACCAAGCGAAAACAAAUCUGUCCACAAGAGGAAACAACAGAGCAACAGAAAUACUGAAAUUCAACAAAAACAAACAUAGAAACAGACCAUUUGAAAACAACUGCCAUAUUUCUGACUAGGCUCAGGAUAUCCUAAGAAAAAAUGGUGGGUUAACCCAGGCAACCAAACCUCUCCCCAACUCAGCAAUUCAAAAACACUGCCAAAAUGAUCACACUACGUGACAGGAAUAUAGAACAAACAAACA